Diabrotica virgifera virgifera (western corn rootworm) is the source of this 686-nucleotide long non-coding RNA. RefSeq lists it as uncharacterized. The record is from RefSeq and is a predicted model, not a curated record. NCBI's taxonomy places the organism in Eukaryota, Metazoa, Arthropoda, Insecta, Coleoptera, Chrysomelidae. The transcript is spliced from 2 exons.
AUGAAACUCCUUGAGGAUAUUUAAUCAGAAGUAAUCCAGAUAACUAAUUAAGAAAUAUUCAAUUUGAUGAAGUUGACGAUUGUCUUGCUCAGCAAGGAUUUAAAAUAUCUGGAUAUUUAGGUCCCCAAGACCUUUCUUUUUGGCCAUACGCUAUCUUUAAGGCCAACAAUUUUUCUUUCUCUCCAAUUCAUUUUGAUGUUGUGAGUUUUUUUUGAAACACCCUUGUCCAGGGUCGAUAUUUAUAUAACCUGUAUAUCUGUGAAGUAUCCAAGUAUAUAAAUGCAGUACGACAUCAUCCACGUGUAUAACAUCGACGAAAAAAACAUAAGGUAGGAUCAAACCAAUACUUCUCUUAAAAGAACGUUGUUUUGCCUGUCUAAGCCACCACACCAUACAGCAGUCUGACAAAUAUCUCGGUUUUGUAUUUUUUUCUUGUAAAUAGUACCUAAAUAUAAUAUUACAUAGUUUUAAGAAUUAUAAUAUGGGUGUACGCUGAAAAGAAUAUUCUUAGAGGCAAAUAUAAACUUUAGUUGAGCUUUUUACCUUUUCCUUUUGGGUUUUUUUAUAUUUUCAAUUAAGAUUAAUAUGAAUUUUUUUAGUUUUGGUUAAUAAGAAUAAAUAGUUUGUGAAUUCUCCGAUUUUUUUUUAUUUCUUAUUAUUAUUUUUUUGUUUGGUAGAAAAUAAAA